RNAcentral lists this ribosomal RNA (253 nucleotides) under uncultured bacterium. RNAcentral describes it as "partial 16S ribosomal RNA". It matches the Rfam family "Bacterial small subunit ribosomal RNA", at positions 524 to 776 of the family's 1533-position model. The record is from RNAcentral.
GACAGAGGGUGCAAACGUUGUUCGGAAUUACUGGGCGUAAAGCGCGUGUAGGCGGCCCUGCAAGUCGGAUGUGAAAUCCCACGGCUCAACCGUGGAAGUGCAUUCGAAACUGCAGGGCUAGAGUCCUGGAGAGGAAGGUGGAAUGCUUGGUGUAGAGGUGAAAUUCGUAGAUAUCAAGCGGAACACCGGUGGCGAAGGCGGCCUUCUGGACAGUGACUGACGCUGAGACGCGAAAGCGUGUGGAGCGAACAGG